AGCAGCCGCGGUAAUUCCAGCUCCAAUAGCGUAUAUUAAAGUUGUUGCAGUUAAAAAGCUCGUAGUUGAAUUUCGGGGUUAGCAGGUCGGUCGUGCCAUCGGUAUGAACUGGUCUCGCUGAUCCCUCCCUCUUGACGAACUGUGAUGCCAUUAAUUUGGUGUCGCAGGGAAUCAGGACUGUUACUUUGAAAAAAUUAGAGUGUUUAAAGCAGGCUCACGCUUGAAUACAUUAGCAUGGAAUAAUGAAAUAGGACGUUUGAUCCUAUUUUGUUGGCUUCUAGGAUUGACGUAAUGAUUAAUAGGGAUAGUUGGGGGCAUUAGUAUUCAAUUGUCAGAGGUGAAAUUCUUGGAUUUAUUGAAGACUAACUACUGCGAAAGCAUUUGCCAAGGAUGUUUUCAUUAAUCAAGAACGAAAGUUAGGGGAUCGAAGACGAUCAGAUACCGUCGUAGUCUUAACCAUAAACUAUGCCGACUAGGGAUCGGAUGAUGUUAAUUUUUUAAUGA
Molecule: ribosomal RNA, 504 nt
Filed under: uncultured Glomus
Lineage: Eukaryota; Fungi; Glomeromycota; Glomeromycetes; Glomerales; Glomeraceae
Description: SSU rRNA
Rfam family: Eukaryotic small subunit ribosomal RNA
Source: RNAcentral